AGGCUAGUGGAGCGAACCGGGUGAACUGAAACAUCUCAGUAGCUCGAGGAAAAGAAAUCAACCGAGAUUCCGAAAGUAGUGGCGAGCGAAAUCGGAUGAGCCUUUACGUUUUAGCACGCAGGAUAGUCGAACGGAAUGGAAAGUCCGGCCGUAGCAGGUGAUAGCCCUGUAGACGAAAUUCUGUGUGUGGAACUAAGCGUAAGACAAGUAGGGCGGGACACGUGAAAUCCUGUUUGAAGAUGGGGGGACCAUCCUCCAAGGCUAAAUACUCGUGAUCGACCGAUAGUGAACCAGUACCGUGAGGGAAAGGCGAAAAGAACCCCGGAAGGGGAGUGAAAUAGAUCCUGAAACCGUAUGCAUACAAACAGUAGGAGCCUCCUUGUGGGGUGACUGCGUACCUUUUGUAUAAUGGGUCAGCGACUUACAUUCAGUGGCAAGGUUAACCGAAUAGGGAAGCCGUAGCGAAAGCGAGUCCGAAUAGGGCGAUUUAGUCGCUGGGUGUAGACCCGAAACCAGAUGAUCUAUCCAUGGCCAGGUUGAAGGCACGGUAACACGUGCUGGAGGACCGAACCCACUAAUGUUGAAAAAUUAGGGGAUGAGCUGUGGAUAGGGGUGAAAGGCUAAACAAAUCUGGAAAUAGCUGGUUCUCUCCGAAAACUAUUUAGGUAGUGCCUCAAGUAUUACUGCGGGGGGUAGAGCACUGUUAUAGCUAGGGGGUCAUGGCGACUUACCAAACUAUGGCAAACUCCGAAUACCCGCAAGUACAGCUUGGGAGACAGAGCACCGGGUGCUAACGUCCGGACUCAAGAGGGAAACAACCCAGACCGCCAGCUAAGGUCCCGAAUUAUCGCUAAGUGGGAAACGAAGUGGGAAGGCAUAGACAGUCAGGAGGUUGGCUUAGAAGCAGCCAUCCUUUAAAGAAAGCGUAAUAGCUCACUGAUCGAGUCGUCCCUGCGCGGAAGAUGUAACGGGGCUUAAGCGAUAAACCGAAGCUGCGGGUGUUGCACUUUUUUAGUGCAC
Molecule: ribosomal RNA, 1020 nt
Filed under: Achromobacter xylosoxidans
Lineage: Bacteria; Pseudomonadati; Pseudomonadota; Betaproteobacteria; Burkholderiales; Alcaligenaceae
Description: bacterial LSU rRNA
Rfam family: Bacterial large subunit ribosomal RNA
Source: RNAcentral